UUUUUUCCAUACUGUCUUCUAAGUCUGAACAGUCUGAACAGUCAGCUCUGUGAUUAUCAGCUAGACAACUGGACAUUCAGCUGCAGAUGAGGAAAACCCCUAACCAGUUGGCCAGCAAGCCCAUCAGCCACUCGGCCGGCCAGUCUGCUGUGCAGAGGGCCCUGCCAAUCAUCAUCUGGUUCUCCUCAUGUUGUUCUGCAGGAGUCUUUCCAUUGCAUAUGUGUCAUGAUGCCUCGAACCAACGCACAACACAAAAACAGCCAUCCUGUCUCGUCAUGGGUUUGUAAAGACUAUUAAUGUCAUGUGCCAGUCAGCCACAUCUGAAGAUAUACAGUAAGUCAUUUCAGUCCAUUAAUUAUUCAGAAUCAAC
This is a long non-coding RNA of Thunnus maccoyii (southern bluefin tuna), 370 nucleotides long. RefSeq lists it as uncharacterized. NCBI's taxonomy places the organism in Eukaryota, Metazoa, Chordata, Actinopteri, Scombriformes, Scombridae. The record is from RefSeq and is a predicted model, not a curated record. The transcript has 3 exons.